Molecule: ribosomal RNA, 450 nt
Filed under: uncultured bacterium
Lineage: Bacteria
Description: partial 16S ribosomal RNA
Rfam family: Bacterial small subunit ribosomal RNA
Source: RNAcentral
AACGAACGCUGGCGGCAGGCCUAAAACAUGCAAGUCGAACGGGUGUAGCAAUACAUCAGUGGCGCACGGGUGAGUAACGCGUGGGAACGUGCCCUUCAGUACGGGACAACGUCGGGACACUGACGCUAAUACCGUAUAAUAUCUCCGGAUCAAAGAUUUAUCGCUGAAGGAGCGGCCCGCGUCUGAUUAGCUAGUUGGUGGGGUAAUGGCCUACCAAGGCUACGAUCAGUAGCUGGUCUGAGAGGAUGAUCAGCCACACUGGGACUGAGACACGGCCAGACUCCUACGGGAGGCAGCAGUUAGGAGUAUUGGACAAUGGGCGAAAGCCUGAUCCAGCCAUGCCGCGUGUGUGAUGAAGGCCCUAGGGUUGUAAAGCACUUUCGUUGGGGAUGAUAAUGACCGUACCCAAAGAAGAAGCCACGGCUAAAUUCGUGCCAGCCGCCGCCGUAA